CAUUACUAUCAAAUCCAAAAAAAAAGAUUCAUCAUAUACAUUACAUUACAUACAAUUCAAUUCUCUCUAUAGAGCUACUACAUUCUCUCAUCUUAUUUGUGAUUGAAACCAAGGUCUUGCAUUGUUUCCGGGUCAUGGGCAAAAGUCAAACUUCUUGGUGCAAAUUGGGCUAACUGUCAAAGCCCAAAUGUGAUUCCAAUUUCCACCUUCCACAUUUGCAAGGUGGCCCAAUAUGUCAUUCUUCAUAAAUAUCUUAAAAAUCCGUUGGGAUUCACAGUCAUCGUAGGUUGUUGCUGCAGCGGCAUUAUGAUUGAAGAGGUUACAUUUGAAUGUUGAUCAUGAUGAUGAAAAACACCUCCAUUUGAAGUAGUAACAUGAG
Arachis ipaensis is the source of this 379-nucleotide non-coding RNA. Lineage: Eukaryota; Viridiplantae; Streptophyta; Magnoliopsida; Fabales; Fabaceae. The record is from RefSeq and is a predicted model, not a curated record.